AUUGAACGCUGGCGGCAGGCCUAACACAUGCAAGUCGAGCGGUAGAGAGGUGCUUGCAUCUCUUGAGAGCGGCGGACAGGUGAGUAAUGCCUAGGAAUCUGCCUGGUGGUGGGGGAUAACGUUCGGAAACGGACGCUAAUACCGCAUACGUCCUACGGGAGAAAGCGGGGGGAUCUUCGGACCUCGCGCCAUUAGAUGAGCCUAGGUCGGAUUAGCUAGUGGUGAGGUAAUGGCUCACCAAGGCGACGAUCCGUAACU
RNAcentral lists this ribosomal RNA (258 nucleotides) under uncultured bacterium. Its description in RNAcentral is "partial 16S ribosomal RNA". It matches the Rfam family "Bacterial small subunit ribosomal RNA", at positions 30 to 288 of the family's 1533-position model. The record is from RNAcentral.